CUCAAGGGGAGGGUGCUACAGCGUUGGCUAUAUCUGUUGUUUCUGCACUACGUCGGGCCAUUGAGUCUGUCCAUCGAGAUAUUGGGGUACCUGAUACCUUCUUUAACAACGAUCCUCCAUGUACUGUAGAGACCAAUUUUCUGAGAUGCCGCACAAAGAUAGAGGAUUAUACUUUAGAAUGAAUACUGAAGGUUUCCUCAAUGUAUGGCAUACAUUGUAAGUCAUGAUACACUACAAGUCUUGAGAAUCCAAUAACUUCAAUAUAAAUCAGACACUGAAAAAUUCUAAUUAUUUUACAGUCAAUUUAUAAGAAUUCCAUAACCUAUUUUUUUUAAUGGUUAAUUUUUGUGCUUGUAUAAAAAUAUCAAAACAUAAAAAAUCACAUUCUGUUUUGGGAAUGUAGAGUGGAUUAUAUGAAUAAAUUUCAUUGAUUUCUGCCAA
Molecule: long non-coding RNA, 441 nt
Organism: Homalodisca vitripennis (glassy-winged sharpshooter)
Lineage: Eukaryota; Metazoa; Arthropoda; Insecta; Hemiptera; Cicadellidae
Exons: 2
Source: RefSeq, a predicted model, not a curated record